CAUUAGCCGACACACAUUAGAAUGGCCGAGCAUGUAGAGUAUCUGGAUGAUCCCGAUAAAUCGGAGAACGACACGAAAGUUUACAGAUCUCUUGUGCUGUCGGCACCAUCGGUCCAUAUAGGAUUGCCCAGCAACGCAUCCUGUGCCUUGAUGGUCAACCACGGUCCAUUCGCCGAUCCGCGCAACUAUCAGUGCCUGGCCCACCUUCUGCAACAUAUUAUUUUCAUGCGCAGAAAGCCCAGGAUCCCAAGGAGAACAUCAACGGCCAAUGCUCCUCUUCAAUCUUAAGCGAGGACACGAUGUUCUCCUCUAAAGCAUCCCUUGAUGCUGAAGGAAUCCACUGAAUGUGGCCGCGCUCUCGAGGACUCUGAGUUUCAGCUGAUGGCAAACAAAAAUGAACAGCGUCGCAACCAGCCGCUUGCCGGACUUGCCACCCAAGGCUAACCGCAUGCCUUUUUCAACUUGGGUAACAUGAAAUUGUAGAAUGACAAUGAUGGCCAUCGCCUCCAAAAUUUUUCCCUUGCAGUGCUGAUACGUGCGACUUGUACGUUUCAUUGGUAAAGCUCCAUUUGGACAAGGAAUUGCAACUCGACGAAAGUGCCAAACUCAAUAGCCACUUCAGGGUCAGCGACAAUGGUCUGCGUCUGUUUGUGAGCCGCUACAAUGAAAAUAUCUGUUUGUGGAGGCCAUUGCCUAAGGUAUAACCAGGUAUAAUAACCAGCGCGACUACUACUCCACAAUUCUGAACAAUCCAUGGACCCUCAGCAGGCAGUAUUCUGUAGUGCUGGGACAAAGCCAAUGCCUGACGAUUGUCAAGUAUAAGUCCCUCAAUGGGAUCACUCUGGAGGAUUUGAAGGCAUUUGCCCAGAAAAUACCGCAGGAGCUGUAGAUCAAGGCCCAAAAGGUGGUCCAUUCGUUACUCGGCCCACUAAAAUGCGAGGCCAUUAGGGAUAUGCAGCUCGUGGAGAAAGGAAACGUAAACCUUUACGCGUGGAGGUCAUACUCGACUUGUUAAAUAUGGGCAUCAGCCACCGUCAAAUUUGUUAGACCAGAAUCCAAAUGUAAAUGAGUUCGACAUUGUAUUUCUGCCAAAAAAAAAUGGAGAGGGAGAUAUGCGGACCAUUGUCGAUAUUGCCGAUUUCAAAAGCGGUACCCCAAACGCAACGAGGGAGGAGCUGUGGGAGGAAACUAGCCGUACCUCAAGCUUCGAGGAUGCCCUGAGAAAUCUGUGCACCAUCGUAGAAUCUUGAUGUUCAUACACUCACGAGAAAGCCAGACAAGGGACACACUCUCCAGAUAAGUUUUUAAGUUGAAUUGAAUACUAGUACUACAAGUAAUA
Drosophila persimilis is the source of this 1339-nucleotide long non-coding RNA. RefSeq lists it as uncharacterized. The record is from RefSeq and is a predicted model, not a curated record. Lineage: Eukaryota; Metazoa; Arthropoda; Insecta; Diptera; Drosophilidae. The transcript is spliced from 3 exons.